AUUACUGCUGUGAAGGGAACCCAACAGUAGAUUUUCUAUCCCUGUUUUUAGAGAGUCAGCGGAAGGUGAAAGCUGAUACAUAUAGAGAAUUGAAUUACGUCCUGGAGCUUUUUCUGCGAAAAUUGGAGUAGCAGAGAACGGGUAAGCCGUUAAUUUUAUGAGGUGGAGGAAGUUUUUAUUCCUCAAGCCGGGUGGUACCGCGUAUUUAUACGUCCCUGCA
RNAcentral lists this non-coding RNA (220 nucleotides) under Bacillus sp. (in: firmicutes). RNAcentral's name for it is "Bacillus sp. T-box sequence". It matches the Rfam family "T-box leader". From Rfam's summary of the family: Uncharged tRNA acts as the effector for transcription antitermination of genes in the T-box leader family. T-boxes are found upstream of many aminoacyl-tRNA synthetase genes and some amino acid biosynthetic genes usually in Gram-positive bacteria. Lineage: Bacteria; Bacillati; Bacillota; Bacilli; Caryophanales; Bacillaceae. The record is from RNAcentral.